UUGACCUCGGAUCAGGUAGGCAAUA
This 25-nucleotide ribosomal RNA is filed under the name Cercospora beticola. RNAcentral describes it as "partial 28S ribosomal RNA". The record is from RNAcentral. Lineage: Eukaryota; Fungi; Ascomycota; Dothideomycetes; Mycosphaerellales; Mycosphaerellaceae.